Molecule: ribosomal RNA, 454 nt
Filed under: uncultured bacterium
Lineage: Bacteria
Description: partial 16S ribosomal RNA
Rfam family: Bacterial small subunit ribosomal RNA
Source: RNAcentral
GAUGAACGCUGACAGAAUGCUUAACACAUGCAAGUCAACUUGAACUUCGGUUUGGGUGGCGGACGGGUGAGUAACGCGUAACGAACUUGCCUCACAGAUAGGGACAACAUUUGGAAACGAAUGCUAAUACCUGAUAUUAUGAUUAUAUGGCAUCGUAUAAUUAUGAAAGCUAUAUGCGCUGUGAGAGAGCUUUGCGUCCCAUUAGCUAGUUGGAGAGGUAACGGCUCACCAAGGCGAUGAUGGGUAGCCGGCCUGAGAGGGUGAUCGGCCACAAGGGGACUGAGACACGGCCCGUACUCCUACGGGAGGCAGCAGUGGGGAAUAUUGGACAAUGGACCAAGAGUCUGAUCCAGCAAUUCUGUGUGCACGAUGAAGUUUUUCGGAAUGUAAAGUGCUUUCAGUUGGGAAGAAAAAAAUGACGGUACCAACAGAAGAAGUGACGGCUAAAUACGUG